This 427-nucleotide ribosomal RNA is filed under the name uncultured bacterium. RNAcentral describes it as "partial 16S ribosomal RNA". It matches the Rfam family "Bacterial small subunit ribosomal RNA", at positions 354 to 796 of the family's 1533-position model. The record is from RNAcentral.
GUGGGGAAUAUUGCACAAUGGGCGAAAGCCUGAUGCAGCAACGCGGCGUGAGCGAUGAAGGCCUUUGGGUCGUAAAGCUCUGUCCUUGGGGAAGAAACAAAUGACGGUACCCUUGGAGGAAGCCCCGGCUAACUACGUGCCAGCAGCCGCGGUAAUACGUAGGGGGCGAGCGUUAUCCGGAAUUAUUGGGCGUAAAGAGUGCGUAGGUGGUUUCUUAAGUGUGAGGUGAAAGGCAGUGGCUCAACCAUUGUAAGCCUAGCGAACUGGGAGACUUGAGUGUGGGAGAGGAAAACGGAAAUCCUAGUGUAGCGGUGAAAUGCGUAGAUAUUAGGAGGAACACCAGUGGCGAAGGCGGCUUUCUGGACCAUAACUGACGCUGAGGCACGAAAGCGUGGGGAGCAAACAGGAUUAGAUACCCGUGUAGUCC